RNAcentral lists this ribosomal RNA (38 nucleotides) under Hysterothylacium aduncum. RNAcentral's name for it is "partial 28S ribosomal RNA". Lineage: Eukaryota; Metazoa; Nematoda; Chromadorea; Rhabditida; Raphidascarididae. The record is from RNAcentral.
UAUGUUUUGACCUCAGCUCAGCCGUGACUGCCCGCUGA